RNAcentral lists this ribosomal RNA (303 nucleotides) under Triticum aestivum (bread wheat). Its description in RNAcentral is "partial small subunit ribosomal RNA". Lineage: Eukaryota; Viridiplantae; Streptophyta; Magnoliopsida; Poales; Poaceae. The record is from RNAcentral.
AUGAACCAAAUGUUGGUUCUCAGCAAAGAGGCCCAUGAUUGGCUAGAUGAGUUGGAUCCUAAAACAUGGGUCAGCGCUUAUCAAAAUGAUUUCGCAAAGUGUGAUGUGCUGCUCAAUAACAAUUGUGAAGUCUUCAACAGAUACAUCCUGGAAGCUAGGGAAAUGCCAAUCAUAAGCAUGUGCCAGAGGAUCAAGGGCCAGAACAUGGGAAGGAAUUAUGGAAAACAACAAGAGGCCUUGAAGUGGCAUGAUACUCAGAGAGCACAGGGCCACGGUCAAUCACCUCCUUCAUGUGACAAAUGA